RNAcentral lists this ribosomal RNA (237 nucleotides) under uncultured bacterium. Its description in RNAcentral is "partial 16S ribosomal RNA". It matches the Rfam family "Bacterial small subunit ribosomal RNA", at positions 15 to 235 of the family's 1533-position model. The record is from RNAcentral.
GAUCAUGGCUCAGGACGAACGCUGGCGGCGUGCUUAACACAUGCAAGUCGAACGAGAAUCUACUGAAGGAGGAUUCGUCCAACGGAAGUAGAGGAAAGUGGCGGACGGGUAAGUAACGCGUGAGGAACCUGCCUUGAAGAGGGGGACAACAGUUGGAAACGACUGCUAAUACCGCAUGAUGCAUAGGGGUCGCAUGAUCUUUAUGCCAAAGAUUUAUCGCUUCAAGAUGGCCUCGCG